UAGGGAAUAUUGGGCAAUGGGCGAAAGCCUGACCCAGCCAUGCCGCGUGCAGGAUGAAGGCCUUCUGGGUUGUAAACUGCUUUUUUACGGGAAGAAAAAACUCAUGCGUGAGGAACUGACGGUACCGUAAGAAUAAGCACCGGCUAACUCCGUGCCAGCAGCCGCGGUAAUACGGAGGGUGCAAGCGUUGUCCGGAUUUAUUGGGUUUAAAGGGUGCGUAGGCGGCCUAUUAAGUCAGUGGUGAAAGCCCAUCGCUCAACGAUGGAACUGCCAUUGAUACUGAUAGGCUUGAGUACAGACGAGGUUGGCGGAAUUGAUGCUGUAGCGGUGAAAUGCAUAGAUAGCAUCAAGAACACCGAUUGCGUAGGCAGCUAACUAGGCUGUAACUGACGCUGAGGCACGAAAGCGUGGGGAGCGAACAGG
RNAcentral lists this ribosomal RNA (423 nucleotides) under uncultured bacterium. Its description in RNAcentral is "bacterial SSU rRNA". It matches the Rfam family "Bacterial small subunit ribosomal RNA", at positions 355 to 776 of the family's 1533-position model. The record is from RNAcentral.